Molecule: long non-coding RNA, 1304 nt
Organism: Orcinus orca (killer whale)
Lineage: Eukaryota; Metazoa; Chordata; Mammalia; Artiodactyla; Delphinidae
Exons: 2
Source: RefSeq, a predicted model, not a curated record
CGUACCAAUGCGCCGAGAGAACGGUAAGAGCGCGAGGCACAUGGUGGCGAGCACGAGCCACAUGGCCUCGGGGACCUACGUCCAGCUGCCAGCCCCAGCAACCAGCUGCCGCGGCCAGGCCAGGUAGAGCAGCCCCUCGAACGGCAGCACCGUGAGGCGCCGCAGCAGCGCCAGCCACCGGUUCGGCCACAGGGCGGCGACCAACUCACUCACUGUGAGUGCAGGUCCAGCAGCAAGGAGCGCGCGCGCGCGGCAAACAGGGUACGCGGCUGCAACCUGGGCUUGGGCUGCUCGACGGGGUGGGCCAGGCCUAGCAAGGCCGAGCCCCUCAAGACAGGCCGCUGCCCCCGGGCCCAGCCAACAUCGCCCCCGUCUUUCCCAGAGCCGCGCUGGUUUCCGCAUAGGCACCGCCUCACUUCUGACGUUUUACUUCCGCUGAGCCUUGGGCGCCACAAGAGCAUCGCGGAAUCAGAACAGCUGGGGACACGUAGUGGGCUGGAUCCGGAAGUGGCUACUCAGGGAGACGCCAUGACAGGUUGCUGCCAGAAAAAUAGGCUGGGCGCCGCCAUGACAGAAAGGGCUUGAAGGGCUAAAGGCGGCCUGCCUACCCUGCCACGCCGGACUGAGACCGGAAAAAACGAGGCAAGCCCGGGCGCCGUGACAACCUGAACCGGAAUAGGCGAGUCCUCCUCCGAGACUACAUGGUACCGGCCUAUCUGGUUCACGAAGGACGGAACUUGUACACUUCGGAGGCAGGGCCUGUCAGGGAAAAGCUGGUGUUCAGGGGGCGGGGCUUGCUAUGAGGUGGGGCUUGUGUCUCCUGCUGAAAGCCUCCGCCUUCAGGGUCCUGGGGAGGGCUCAAGACUGGCAGGCUUACAAAGCUAACACGGGACACAGCCACACAUGACAAGAGCCAUCAUGCAAUAGAUAAUUACUCACAAAAUUACUACUUUAACAUAAAAUAUGAAAAAUCGAUGUUUAUUUGAAAUGAUGUAUUUUUUCUGUAUUAUUUACUUUCCAGUUACAUAAAUGCUGUUGUUUGAACAAAACCAAAAUAGUAUUGUAUUACUAAUAGAAAAAGGUAUAUCAAUAUGUUUAUAGUGUUUCUGCCCUCUGAUACAGAAUUUAUGAGCUAUAUUUUCAACUGUUUAUUGGAUAUUGAAUUUUCUGUUACAUUGCAUGUUCUUAAGAUUCUUAAAAUACAUAUGUGUAAGACUUUGCAAAAGGAGAAUGUAAAUGCAAUAGGACUUGGAUAAUAUUCUAUAUUUAAUAAAAUAACGAUGAUGUUUCUUUCUUUCCCGUUA